This 301-nucleotide ribosomal RNA is filed under the name uncultured bacterium. RNAcentral's name for it is "partial 16S ribosomal RNA". It matches the Rfam family "Bacterial small subunit ribosomal RNA", at positions 509 to 809 of the family's 1533-position model. The record is from RNAcentral.
CAGUCGCCACGGGAAUACGUAGGUGGCAAGCGUUGUCCGGAAUUAUUGGGCGUAAAGGGCUCGCAGGCGGUUUCUUAAGCCUGAUGUGAAAGCCCCCGGCUCAACCGGGGAGGGUCAUUAGAAACUGGGAAACUUGAGUGCAGAAGAGGAGAGUGGAAUUCCACGUGUAGCGGUGAAAUGCGUAGAGAUGUGGAGGAACACCAGUGGCGAAGGCGACUCUCUGGUCUGUAACUGACGCUGAGGAGCGAAAGCGUGGGGAGCGAACAGGAUUAGAUACCCCUGUAGUCCCUGUCUCUUAUAA